AGUGAUGCCUUUAGAUUGGGGACACAGUUGGAAACGACUGCUAAUACCGAAUGUGCCUUAGGGUGAAAGAUUUAUUGUCUAGAGAUUGGCUCGCGUCAGAUUAACUAGUUGGAGUGGUAACGGCACACCAAGGCGACGAUCUGUACUUGGUCUGAGAGGAUGACCAGGCACACUGGAACUGAGACACGGUCCAGACUCCUACGGGAGGCAGCAGUGGGGAAUUUUCCGCAAUGGGCGAAAGCCUGACGGAGCAAUACCGCGUGAGGGAGGACGGCUUUUGGGUUGUAAACCUCUUUUAUCAGGGAAGAAUCGAUGACGGUACCUGAUGAAUCAGCAGCCGGCUAACUCCGUGCCAGCCACCGCGGAAAACGGAAGAUGCCCGCGCUCUCCCGGAAUUAUU
RNAcentral lists this ribosomal RNA (400 nucleotides) under Leptolyngbya sp. ppd3. RNAcentral's name for it is "bacterial SSU rRNA". It matches the Rfam family "Bacterial small subunit ribosomal RNA", at positions 120 to 555 of the family's 1533-position model. Lineage: Bacteria; Bacillati; Cyanobacteriota; Cyanophyceae; Leptolyngbyales; Leptolyngbyaceae. The record is from RNAcentral.